AUCUUCUACUAUGGAGAGUUUGAUCCUGGCUCAGGAUGAACGCUAGCGGCAGGCCUAACACAUGCAAGUCGAGCGGUAGGGGACUUCGGUCCCUGAGAGCGGCGCACGGGUGCGUAACGCGUAUGCAACCUACCCUUUACAGGGGAAUAGCCCGUCGAAAGGCGGAUUAAUGCCCCAUGGCUCCUUCGAGAGGCAUCUCUUGGAGGGUAAAGAUUCAUCGGUAAAGGAUGGGCAUGCGUGCCAUUAGCUGGAUGGUGGGGUAACGGCCCACCAUGGCGACGAUGGCUAGGGGUUCUGAGAGGAAGGCCCCCCACACUGGGACUGAGACACGGCCCAGACUCCUACGGGAGGCAGCAGUGAGGAAUAUUGGUCAAUGGGCGGAAGCCUGAACCAGCCAUGCCGCGUGCGGGAAGAAGGCGCUACGCGUCGUAAACCGCUUUUGUCCGGGGGUAACCGCGGGGACGUGUCCCCGCCUGCAAGUACCGGACGAAUAAGGGUCGGCUAACUCCGUGCCAGCAGCCGCGGUAAUACGGAGGACCCGAGCGUUAUCCGGAUUCAUUGGGUUUAAAGGGUGCGUAGGCGGCCCGGUAAGUCAGCGGUGAAAGGCUCCUGCUCCACAGGAGAGCUGCCGUUGAUACUGCUGGGCUAGAAUCUUAGCGAGGCGGGCGGAAUGCGCGGUGUAGCGGUGAAAUGCAUAGAUAUCGCGCAGAACGCCGAUUGGGGAGCCAGCUCGCCAGCUGAGUAUUGACGCUGAGGCACGAAAGCGUGGGGAUCGAACAGGAUUAGAUACCCUGGUAGUCCACGCCGUAAACGAUGAUGGCUCGCUCUUGGUUCGCAAGGAUCAGGGGCUUAGCGAAAGCGUUAAGCCAUCCACCUGGGGAGUACGCCGGCAACGGUGAAACUCAAAGGAAUUGACGGGGGCCCGCACAAGCGGAGGAACAUGUGGUUUAAUUCGAUGAUACGCGAGGAACCUUACCCAGGCUCGAACGCCGAACGAAUACGGGGGAAACUCCGUAGCCAGCAAUGGCGGUCGGCGAGGUGCUGCAUGGUUGUCGUCAGCUCGUGCCGUGAGGUGUCGGCUUAAGUGCCAUAACGAGCGCAACCCCUAUCGGUAGUUGCCAGCGGGUUAUGCCGGGAACUCUACCGAGACUGCCAGCGCAAGCUGCGAGGAAGGCGGGGAUGACGUCAAAUCAGCACGGCCCUUACGUCUGGGGCGACACACGUGUUACAAUGGCCGGUACAGAGGGCAGCCACCCAGCGAUGGGGCGCGAAUCUCAAAAGCCGGUCGUAGUUCGGAUCGGAGGCUGCAACCCGCCUCCGUGAAGCUGGAUUCGCUAGUAAUCGCAUAUCAGCCAUGAUGCGGUGAAUACGUUCCCGGGCCUUGUACACACCGCCCGUCAAACCAUGGGAGCUGGGGGGACCUGAAGUGCGUGACCGCAAGGAGCGCCCUAGGGUAAAACCGGUGACUGGGGUUAAGUCGUAACAAGGUAGCCGUACCGGAAGGUGCGGCUGGAACACCUCCUUUCU
Molecule: ribosomal RNA, 1527 nt
Filed under: Acetobacteroides hydrogenigenes
Lineage: Bacteria; Pseudomonadati; Bacteroidota; Bacteroidia; Bacteroidales; Rikenellaceae
Description: bacterial SSU rRNA
Rfam family: Bacterial small subunit ribosomal RNA
Source: RNAcentral